AAGGUCUUCGGAUUGUAAACUUCUUUUAUUUGGGACUAAGAAAUCUAGGGAAACUUAGAGAGUGAAUGUACCAAGUGAAUAAGCCACGGCUAACUUCGUGC
RNAcentral lists this ribosomal RNA (101 nucleotides) under uncultured bacterium. RNAcentral's name for it is "partial 16S ribosomal RNA". The record is from RNAcentral.